RNAcentral lists this ribosomal RNA (137 nucleotides) under uncultured bacterium. Its description in RNAcentral is "partial 16S ribosomal RNA". It matches the Rfam family "Bacterial small subunit ribosomal RNA", at positions 355 to 509 of the family's 1533-position model. The record is from RNAcentral.
UGGGGAAUAUUGCACAAUGGGGGAAACCCUGAUGCAGCAACGCCGCGUGAGUGAAGAAGUAUUUCGGUAUGUAAAGCUCUAUCAGCAGGGAAGAAGAUGACGGUACCUGAGUAAGAAGCCCCGGCUAACUACGUGCC